Molecule: ribosomal RNA, 492 nt
Filed under: uncultured bacterium
Lineage: Bacteria
Description: partial 16S ribosomal RNA
Rfam family: Bacterial small subunit ribosomal RNA
Source: RNAcentral
AGUGAACGCUGGCGGUAGGCCUAACACAUGCAAGUCGAACGGCAGCACAGUAAGAGCUUGCUCUUACGGGUGGCGAGUGGCGGACGGGUGAGGAAUACAUCGGAAUCUACUUUUUCGUGGGGGAUAACGUAGGGAAACUUACGCCAAUACCGCAUACGACCUACGGGUGAAAGCAGGGGAUCUUCGGACCUUGCGCGAUUGAAUGAGCCGAUGUCGGAUUAGCUAGUUGGCGGGGUAAAGGCCCACCAAGGCGACGAUCCGUAGCUGGUCUGAGAGGAUGAUCAGCCACACUGGAACUGAGACACGGUCCAGACUCCUACGGGAGGCAGCAGUGGGGAAUAUUGGACAAUGGGCGCAAGCCUGAUCCAGCCAUACCGCGUGGGUGAAGAAGGCCUUCGGGUUGUAAAGCCCUUUUGUUGGGAAAGAAAAGCGGCAGGUUAAUACCCCGCUGUUCUGACGGUACCCAAAGAAUAAGCACCGGCUAACUUCGUG